AUGAAUAAAGUAAGGAUUUACAACUCUAAUUAUUCUCUCAUCUAAUUAUCACCGCUAAUCACCCCGGAGUUCUCCGAUCGUGUACCUCACCAUCUUUAAUCCCGCCGUCGCCUCCAACUUAGCCGCAUCGAGCUCUCCUUCGGAACCGCUUAAUUAACAACAACGUUCCCAAGCUGCUAAGCAUCGAGAAUCCACCUCUAUAAUUCAAGGGGAGACACCAAAUGUGGAGAAGAAUCAUAAUGUUGAUUCACAUACACCUACAUCAUUGGUGACAGAAAUAAAUGUUGAUCAAAACUGCAUGAGUUGAUGGAGUGUGCAAAUAAAUAUCACACAAUAUUAAAUAAACUAGAUGGCUAAGAAGAUAAUAUAAAUGUUAUUGAAAAAUCUAAAGAAAUAACGUCAAAUACGAACAUUAGAAAAAAUCCCAAAAGAAGUUGUAGCGCACAUAGUAAUUAUGAUGACUUCAUAUGUUCUACGGUAACGAAAGAGUAUAACACUAAACAUCCAAUUCAUAAGAACCAACAAGAACCAAAUACUUAC
This 540-nucleotide long non-coding RNA is filed under the name Zostera marina. RNAcentral describes it as "long non-coding RNA (ZMAR_LNC001396)". The record is from RNAcentral. Lineage: Eukaryota; Viridiplantae; Streptophyta; Magnoliopsida; Alismatales; Zosteraceae.